This 295-nucleotide unclassified non-coding RNA is filed under the name Hevea brasiliensis (rubber tree). Lineage: Eukaryota; Viridiplantae; Streptophyta; Magnoliopsida; Malpighiales; Euphorbiaceae. The record is from RNAcentral.
UGCAUGUAGUACCAAACCACCAAUCAAUUUGUUCCCAAAUCACUAACAGAAUUUCAAAUAUCUAAAAUCAGUUCCAAAUUCAAUUCACAGCUGCAAGAUUUUCAAUUGGAAGCAAAUAAUUCCAAGCGCGCUAAGAUUUUCGAAUUCACAAUCCUCUUCUUUACCCAUUCCCAAAUCAUCUGAAUUUCAAGCUCAGGUUCUUGAUUUCGGAGCUGAUCAACCUUAGACACAGCCUAAACCUGAAACUGCUCCUUCUGCUCCAAUUGUUGAUGUUCCAAGGAAGAGCCCAAGCGUG